Molecule: ribosomal RNA, 209 nt
Filed under: uncultured bacterium
Lineage: Bacteria
Description: partial 16S ribosomal RNA
Rfam family: Bacterial small subunit ribosomal RNA
Source: RNAcentral
CUCGUAGGUGGCCAACUAAGUCAGACGUGAAAUCCCCAGGCUCAACCUGGGAACUGCGUCUGAUACUGGAUGGCUUGAAUUCGGGAGAGGGAUGCAGAAUUCCAGGUGUAGCGGUGAAAUGCGUAGAUAUCUGGAGGAAUACCGGUGGCGAAGGCGGCAUCCUGGACCGAGAUUGACACUGAGGAGCGAAAGCCGAGGGGAGACAAACG